GACAAUGUUGGUGAAAAUUGGAUGGAAAUGACUUCAAUGUUGGUGAAAAUUGGAUGGAAAUGACUUAAAUGACGUUGUUUGAAGAAAUAAUGGACUACAUUGACACUUUUUUUAAUUAAGGGACCAAAAUGGACCCGGAGGUUAAGGGACUAAAAAGAUCAUUUUGUCCUUAUUUUAUCAUUAUUAUUUGAUUAUUUCAUUGUCCAUUAUUCUGCAAAUGACAAAUGUAUCUCUCAUCCCUUUUAUUUCAAUUU
Molecule: long non-coding RNA, 254 nt
Filed under: Lathyrus oleraceus (garden pea)
Lineage: Eukaryota; Viridiplantae; Streptophyta; Magnoliopsida; Fabales; Fabaceae
Description: Pisum sativum (pea) long non-coding RNA (PSAT_LNC030764)
Source: RNAcentral